UGGGGGAUAUUGCACAAUGGGCGAAAGCCUGAUGCAGCGACGCCGCGUGGGGGAUGAAGGCCUUCGGGUUGUAAACUUCUUUUGCUCUGAACAAGGCAUGCCUUUGGGGUGUGUUGAGUGUAGGGGUUGAUUAGCGCCGGCUAACUACGUGCCAGCAGCCGCGGUAAUACGUAGGGCGCGAGCGUUGUCCGGAAUUAUUGGGCGUAAAGGGCUUGUAGGUGGCUGGUUGCGUCUGUCGUGAAAGCUCAUGGCUUAACUGUGGGUUUGCGGUGGGUACGGGCUGGCUUGAGUGCCGUAGGGGAGGCUGGAAUUCCUGGUGUAGCGGUGGAAUGCGCAGAUAUCAGGAGGAAUACCGGUGGCGAAGGCGGGUCUCUGGGCUGUUACUGACGCUGAGGAGCGAAAGCGUGGGGAGCGAACAGG
Molecule: ribosomal RNA, 420 nt
Filed under: Fusobacteriota bacterium
Lineage: Bacteria; Fusobacteriati; Fusobacteriota
Description: Fusobacteria bacterium partial 16S ribosomal RNA
Rfam family: Bacterial small subunit ribosomal RNA
Source: RNAcentral